GUAGAGCGUAGUUGUUAGUGCUUAUUUUGCCCUGAAAAACCAAAAGUUUAAUUUCAAUUUUGUAUACGUUUGCCUUUAGCUGCGAGAUUAUAUACUAGGAUAUUAAUAGCUAGGGUAUUCUAGAAGAAGUUUUUCAUUUUCAUGAAAUGUUUCAAGUUUUCGAAAAAAUAAUAAUGUUUAUUAAAUCUAAUUACAUAGGUGUAAAGCAUUUUUAAUUUAUGGAAACAAAAGAUAAGGAAACAGGCUAAAAUAUGAACUGAAGAGUUCACAGAAAAACAGUUUGCAAAAAAGUUUUGAUUACUUUCAACCUUUUAAUCAUUAGAUUGUACGGUAAAAACAUUUUUUCUGAACUUUUUUCUUCAAUAAGCUUAAGAUUUUUUUCAAUGAUUUUAACAAAUGAUGAUUUUCUAAUAAUAUCAACAGUUUGAUCAGAAAUUUAGAUAAAUCCGAUCCAUAUAUACUAUAACUAACUUAUUUGGGGAAAAAUACUUUAUAAUUAAAUACCUGAUGCAUUCAUCCCCUUCGGAAGAAAAUAAUGAUAAUGAUUGAAUACACCUCGUUUUUAAGAAUAGUUUGCCGUCAGUCUGAAAAUUGUUUUUGGGAUAGAUUUACGUCCAUUUUCUCGGACCUUCUUUCAACAGCUUCUAUUGCUUAACUUAACCUGGUUCAUGUUGAAUCUUUUGGUCAACUGUAAACUGUUGAAGGUUAUUUGUUUCUAAUACACUGGAGUCGCUUUUGACGCGGGUUGUUUUUAUGCGUUUUUUUAAACGGGAUAAUUUACAAUAACGCCGAUUAUUUUUACCCGAUUCGCAAAUUAUUUAAUUUACACUUAGUACUAUGAGGCCUCUCGUAGAGCGUAGUUGUUAGUGCUUAUUUUGCCCUGAAAAACCAAAAGUUUAAUUUCAAUUUUGUAUACGUUUGCCUUUAGCUGCGAGAUUAUAUACUAGGAUAUUAAUAGCUAGGGUAUUCUAGAAGAAGUUUUUCAUUUUCAUGAAAUGUUUCAAGUUUUCGAAAAAAUAAUAAUGUUUAUUAAAUCUAAUUACAUAGGUGUAAAGUAUUUUUAAUUUAUGGAAACAAAAGAAAAGGAAACAGGCUAAAAUAUGAACUGAAGAGUUCACAGAAAAACAGUUUGCAAAAAAGUUUUGAUUACUUUCAACCUUUUAAUCAUUAGAUUGUACGGUAAAAACAUUUUUUCUGAACUUUUUUCUUCAAUAAGCUUAAGAUUUUUUUCAAUGAUUUUAACAAAUGAUGAUUUUCUAAUAAUAUCAACAGUUUGAUCAGAAAUUUAGAUAAAUCCGAUCCAUAUAUAUUUAUAACUUACUUAUUUGGGGAAAAAUACUUUAUGAUUGAAUACCUGAUGCAUUCAUCCCCUUCGGAAGAAGAUAAUGAUAAUGAUUGAAUACACCUCGUUUUUAAGAAUAGUUUGCCGUCAGUUUGAAAAUUGUUUUUGGGAUAGAUUUACGUCCAUUUUCUCGGACCUUCUUUUAACAGCUUCUAUUGCUUAACUUAACCUGGUUCAUGUUGAAUCUUUUGGUCAACUGUAAACUGUUGAAGGUUAUUUGUUUCUAAUACACUGGAGUCGCUUUUGACGCGGGUUGUUUUUAUGCGUUUUUUUAAACGGGAUAAUUUACAAUAACGCCGAUUAUUUUUACCCGAUUCGCAAAUUAUUUAAUUUACACUUAGUACUAUGAGGCCUCUCGUAGAGCGUAGUUGUUAGUGCUUAUUUUGCCCUGAAAAACCAAAAGUACGCCGAUUAUUUUUACCCGAUUCGCAAGAUUAUUUGUACGCGGUAUCAAAUAAGUUUAGUAUAAAUACAGUCAUGGAGAAAAUAAUGAAUACACUAGCAGUGUUGGAUAAUUUUUCAUAUUCGCGUAGUGAUUUUAAUUGUUGUAUGAUGUUAUGUUACGUCAUUACGAUCUGCAGACACUCUUUUUAAAAGAAGAACGGAAAAAUAACUGGAGAAAUUCCUUUGUCGGUGAUUCCGAGAAUUUUUUGCCUAGUGGGGUUGGCUGUUUGCGGUAUUUGUCACUGCUAUACUGAUGGUGCGUGUAGGGAAUAUGCCAACUGUUUGAUGUAGGAGAACAACGGGCAAGACGGUCACCCUAAGGAAAUCAUUCAUUAUUCUGCUCAAAACACAACAUUUCAACCAACGAUAUUCAUAAUUUUCGACAUUGACUAGUGCUUUUCAUUAAAUAAUGCAAACUUUUCCUUUUUAGAGUGAUUUUAUAUUAGUUUCCACCAAAAUAAAAACAGUCUCGAAAAACCACUAUUUCACAACGUGCAUAUGAAACGGACCGGCUGUGCUGGUAAGACAGACCUAUGGAAGACUAUAGCAAAUUUCUUUUCUAUACGGGACGACGCGCUGCGCAAAAAAGCACGUGUUUGAAGCUUACCGUCGGCUGCGCCGAUGGAAUCAUUCACAUCAUUUACAUGUAAUAUAUUUACAGCUUUUAACAAUGUUUUUAAUGAUGAUUUUUGUUUCAAAUGAGAGUUAAUGACUUUAGGUCUCAUAUCGCAU
Wyeomyia smithii (pitcher-plant mosquito) is the source of this 2518-nucleotide long non-coding RNA. RefSeq lists it as uncharacterized. The transcript has 3 exons. NCBI's taxonomy places the organism in Eukaryota, Metazoa, Arthropoda, Insecta, Diptera, Culicidae. The record is from RefSeq and is a predicted model, not a curated record.